Molecule: ribosomal RNA, 253 nt
Filed under: uncultured bacterium
Lineage: Bacteria
Description: partial 16S ribosomal RNA
Rfam family: Bacterial small subunit ribosomal RNA
Source: RNAcentral
UACGUAGGGGGCAAGCGUUGUCCGGAAUUAUUGGGCGUAAAGAGCGUGUAGGCGGUCCGGUAAGUCGGCUGUGAAAGUCCAGGGCUCAACCCUGGGAUGCCGGUCGAUACUGCCGGACUAGAGUUCGGAAGAGGCGAGUGGAAUUCCCGGUGUAGCGGUGAAAUGCGCAGAUAUCGGGAGGGACACCUAUGGCGAAGGCAGCUCGCUGGGACGUUACUGACGCUGAGACGCGAAAGCGUGGGGAGCAAACAGG